GAGCAAGCCCCCUCCCACAGGGAUCUCCAGUGAGAUGAAAUUUUUGUGUGCACAGUAAACCCCUGUGGGAGGGGGCUUGCUC
Molecule: non-coding RNA, 82 nt
Filed under: Pseudomonas baetica
Lineage: Bacteria; Pseudomonadati; Pseudomonadota; Gammaproteobacteria; Pseudomonadales; Pseudomonadaceae
Source: RNAcentral